RNAcentral lists this ribosomal RNA (475 nucleotides) under Nannizziopsis guarroi. RNAcentral describes it as "partial large subunit ribosomal RNA". It matches the Rfam family "Eukaryotic large subunit ribosomal RNA", at positions 109 to 586 of the family's 3401-position model. The record is from RNAcentral. Lineage: Eukaryota; Fungi; Ascomycota; Eurotiomycetes; Onygenales; Nannizziopsiaceae.
UCAAAUUUGAAAUCUGGCCCCUCUGGGGGUCCGAGUUGUAAUUUGCAGAGGACACUUCGGGUGCGGCCGCGGUCUAAGUCCCCUGGAACGGGGCGUCGGAGAGGGUGAGAAUCCCGUCUGGGACCGUGGACCUGCCCCGUGUGAAGUUCCUUCGACGAGUCGAGUUGUUUGGGAAUGCAGCUCUAAGUGGGUGGUAAAUUUCAUCUAAAGCUAAAUACUGGCGGGAGACCGAUAGCGCACAAGUAGAGUGAUCGAAAGGUUAAAAGCACCUUGAAAAGGGAGUUAAACAGCACGUGAAAUUGUUGAAAGGGAAGCGCUGGCAGCCAGACAGGAACCCGGGGGCUCAGCGGGCAUGCGUGCCCGUGCACUCCCCCGCGGUUCCGGCCAGCAUCAGUUUCGGCGGCCGGUCAAAGGCCCCGGGAAGGUAUCGUCCUCCGGGACGACUUACAGCCCGGGGUGCAAUGCGGCCAGUCGG